CCGUGCCCCCCGUGCCAUCCCGCCCCGUUCCAAGGGCAGGGACACAUCCCGCGGGCCGGGCUGCUCCAGGUCACACCCGGCCCCAACGCGCCAAACGGCAAAUUGUCCCGAAAACGCUGUUCUGGGGUGUUCCGCUGUGCCAGGCGGCGACAAGGGACAGUUCAUCUAUUCAUCCAGGUUUGAACACUGAUGUCACCUCCAAUCCGUGAGAAAGGAGAUUUCAUCCAGAUCUGAACACUGAUGUCACCUCUAAUCAGGGAGAAAGGAGAUUUCAUCCAGAUCUGAACACUGAUGUCACCUCUAAUCAGUGAGAAAGGAGAUUUCAUCCCGAUUUGAACACUAAUGUCACCUCUAAUCAGUGAGAAAGGAGAUUUCAUCCAGAUCUGAACACUGAUGUCACCUCCAAUCCGUGAGAAAGGAGAUUUCAUCCUGAUUUGAACACUGAUGUCACCUCCAGUAUGUGAGAAAGGAGAUUUCAUCCCGAUUUGAACACUGAUGUCACCUCCAGUCAGUGAGAAAGGAGAUUUCAUCCUGAUUUGAAGACUGACGUGCCCUCCAAGUGAUGUCCAGCUGCUGGAAUGGCAGUGCUGGAAUUGCCUUGUUGACAUCUCCCAUCGAUCCCAUCUCCCACCUCUGGAGAAGAGGGGUUCCCGCUGAUAGAGGGCACCGGGAAUACAGAAUUUGCCAGCCCUGAGGACACUUGGCAGAGCUCCCAAGAUAAAGGAGAAACCAAUAAAAACAACUGGCCAGCUGUGCUGGGUCAGCUCCUGCUGGGAAAGAAGGGGAUUCCAGGAGGAGCGACCAGCAACCCGAGAAACCCCGAAAGCAGAGGAACGCCGGGAAUCCACGAGGAGCAAGGGAAUCAUGAGGGAGAAGAUAGAGCACUAAUUAAUAAGGGAACCAUGUGACCAGUGAGCGUUUGUGCCUUUGUUUGGUGAAAUGUAGAGACGGUGACAAGUUCUGGUAGCUGUGUGCUGGCUUGGGGGAUCAGCCCAGUGCCCUCGUUGUGCAGGGCUGGGAAUAAAUCCCAUAACUCUGUGGUGGGGACCAGGCUCUUCCACACCGGGAUAAAAAACCCAAACAUUUGGGAUGACACUGCCAGGGAUCCAGGGGCAGCCACAGCUGCUCUGGGAAUUCCAUCCCCACCCUCCCAGGGAACUAUUCCCUCCCAAUAUCCCAUCUGAAUCUCCUCUUUUCCAGUUUAGAGCUAUUCCCUGUGUCCUGUCCUGUUGGAGUCCAGGGCAUUCCUUUGGUUGCCCUGGAGGGUCAGGGACCUGGGCAGGGGGGUCUGGGACCCCAACCCAGGGCUCAGAGAGACACUGGCUUUGAUUUCAGUCCAUAGGAAAAACUUCCUGCACUGAGAGAAGGUUUACAUGCCACAAGAAUGUGAGAAAUAGUAGUUAGCUUAUCACAGAAUGAGAAAAUAAUAGUUUUAGGUUUCUAGCAUUGAAGUGAAUGGGGACAAGAUGGAGAAUCUGGGGCGUUGUCUCCUUCUCCUUCUCCUUCUUCUUCCCUCACUCCAUUGCUGCAUUGACGUGGCACAAAGUAGUUAGUGAGGAUUGGGUCAGAGUAAAGAUGACCUUUUUAGUAAUAGUGAUAGACAUUGGUAAGAAAUAGUAAAUAAGAAAUACGUAGUAAUUAGUAUAAAAGAUAAGGACAGCCCAGCUCGGGGGGAGACGUGAGGAAUCCAUGCAGCUGCGAACAUCUUGUCGGACUCAGAGAAAAUUGUAAGAUAAGAAACAAUAAACGAAGUAUGCAACCUUGAGAAAUCUAAACCUGAGAACUCCGUCUCUUCCUUCGGCUCGGCUCGGAGCUGUGCAGGGGAGCAAGGACCCUGAAACCACCUCAAUGUUGGGGAUAUUCAGCGGAGAAGAACCGGGGGCGUUGUCAAGGUGAAACGAGCUUCUCGCCGCUGGAGCUCGCUGCCCAUAAAUCUGGAACUGGGAUUACGCCAGCGAUGGGAAUUGCAGGGUGGAUGAGAACAGUGAAUAUUUAUUUUGGGCUGUCCGACAAUCCUCCUGAUGCAGAAAGAGACAAAAAUGAACCCAAAGCACUCUGAGCUCUGUGCUGUUAAAAAGAGAGAGCCGGGAAUUUCGCCGUUCGGAUAAAUCUCAUAUAAAAAUGUUGACACAUUUAAUCAACAGCGUUUUAUCUGAAUUCUCAACAAGCAAAUUAAUGCAAAAUAAACUAUUAAUAUCUCA
This is a long non-coding RNA of Hirundo rustica (Barn swallow), 2201 nucleotides long. RefSeq lists it as uncharacterized. The transcript is spliced from 2 exons. Lineage: Eukaryota; Metazoa; Chordata; Aves; Passeriformes; Hirundinidae. The record is from RefSeq and is a predicted model, not a curated record.